CGGCACGGGUGAGUAACACGUAUCCAACCUGCCGUCUACUCUUGGACAGCCUUCUGAAAGGAAGAUUAAUACAAGAUGGCAUCAUGAGUCCGCAUGUUCACAUGAUUAAAGGUGUUCCGGUAGACGAUGGGAAUGCGUUCCAUUAGAUAGUAGGCGGGGUAACGGCCCACCUAGUCUUCGAUGGAUAGGGGUUCUGAGAGGAAGGUCCCCCACAUUGGAACUGAGACACGGUCCAA
RNAcentral lists this ribosomal RNA (236 nucleotides) under uncultured bacterium. RNAcentral's name for it is "partial 16S ribosomal RNA". It matches the Rfam family "Bacterial small subunit ribosomal RNA", at positions 100 to 334 of the family's 1533-position model. The record is from RNAcentral.